Molecule: RNA transcript, 5671 nt
Organism: Brassica rapa (field mustard)
Lineage: Eukaryota; Viridiplantae; Streptophyta; Magnoliopsida; Brassicales; Brassicaceae
Gene name: phospholipid--sterol O-acyltransferase
Source: RefSeq, a predicted model, not a curated record
GGACCUGCUUGUUAUGCAUGUGACUUAAUUUUAACCAUGUUUAAAGUUUGGUCCUAGCCAAAACGAUUUUUUUAACUCUGAUUUAUACGAUUCUAACCAGUUUAAAGCAUUCUAAAUCAGUUUAAAUCGAUCUAAAUCGGUUUAAAUCCAUUAAAUUAAAUAAUAGAUUUAGUAAAAAUUUAUAAAUUUGUCUAAUUUCUUUUGUUUUCUAUAUUUAAUUAUGAUAAUUUAUCAAAAUAAUUUUAUAAUUAAAUCUAAAAAUUAAGAUUAAGAUAAUUUAUAUAAAAGUAAAUAAAUAAUUUGUUAACGCGUAAACCUCCUAGGCCCGUAUUAUCUGCACAGAGUCUCAUCUGUAAAUAAAGCUCAUCUCAUAUUGUUACGACUUACGAGGAUCAGAGGUAUCCCUCUAGGUCCCUCCGAAGGUUGGAUCAACAGGCGUCAGUUGUAACCCUCUAGACUACGCCGAAGGUUCUCGCCUUGCAUUAAUAGGACGCUUCCAAAGACUAUUCAACUCUCCACCUCCAAGGUCCAAUCCAAACAACACACUCUCUCUCUCCUCUCUCUUACUUUUCCUCCUAAACUCUGGCGAAUGAAAUAACAAGUCGUCGCUAGCUAGAUACGACAGCGACCGAUGGGAGCGGAUUUGAAAUCAGUAACGGCUUCCUGCACCGUCCUCGCCGUUAUCUUACUGCUCUGUGGUGGCGGUGCGGCGGUGGAGGAGGAUGAGAACGAGUUCCACGGCGACUACUCGAAGCUUUCAGGUAUAAUCAUCCCGGGAUUCGCGUCAACGCAGCUGAGAGCGUGGUCGAUCCUCGACUGUCCUUACUCCCCGUUGGACUUCAAUCCUCUCGACCUCGUUUGGCUAGACUCCACUAAGCUUCUCUCUGCUGUCAACUGUUGGUUUAAGUGUAUGGUGUUAGAUCCUUAUAAUGAAACGGAUCAUCCCGAGUGUAAGUCACGCCCUGAUAGUGGUCUUUCAGCCAUCACAGAAUUGGAUCCAGGCUACAUAACAGGUCCUCUUUCUACAGUCUGGAAGGAGUGGCUUAAGUGGUGCGUUGAGUUUGGCAUAGAGGCUAAUGCAAUUGUCGCUGUUCCUUACGAUUGGAGAUUGUCGCCAACCAAAUUGGAAGAGCGUGACCUGUACUUUCAUAAGCUCAAGUUGACAUUUGAAACUGCUUUAAAACUACGGGGUGGUCCUUCUAUAGUUUUUGCCCAUUCUAUGGGUAAUAAUGUCUUCAGAUACUUUCUGGAAUGGCUGAGGCUAGAAAUUGCACCAAAACAUUACUUGGAGUGGCUUGAUCAGCAUAUCCAUGCUUAUUUCGCUGUUGGAGCUCCUCUUCUUGGUUCAGUUGAGGCAAUCAAAUCUACUCUCUCUGGUGUAACGUUUGGCCUUCCUGUUUCUGAGGGAACUGCUCGAUUGUUGUCCAAUUCUUUUGCUUCUUCGUUGUGGCUUAUGCCAUUUUCAAAGAAUUGCAAGGGUGAUAACACGUUCUGGACGCAUUUUUCUGGUGGUGCUGCAAAGAAAAAUAAGCAUGUAUACCACUGUACUGACGAGGAAUAUCAAUCGAAAUAUUCUGGCUGGCCCACGAAUAUCAUCAACAUUGAAAUUCCUUCCCCUGACGGCCUUGAUGGGUAUCCAUCAGUUACAGAAGCAGUUAAAGCCAACAUGACCAACAUGGAAUGUGGUCUCCCCACUCUAUUGUCUUUCACAGCCCGUGAAUUAGCAGAUGGGACUCUGUUCAAAGCAAUUAAAGACUAUGAUCCAGAUAGCGCGAGGAUGUUACACCAGUUAAAGAAGUUGUAUCAUGAUGACCCUGUUAUGAACCCGCUGACUCCUUGGGAGAGACCACCUAUAAAAAAUGUAUUUUGCAUAUAUGGUGCUCAUUUAAAGACAGAGGUUGGCUAUUACUUUGCCCCAAGUGGCAAACCUUAUCCUGAUAAUUGGAUCAUUACGGAUAUCAUUUACGAAACUGAAGGUUCCCUCGUGUCAAGGUCUGGAACUGUGGUUGAUGGGAACGCUGGGCCUAUAACUGGAGAUGAGACGGUACCCUAUCAUUCACUCUCUUGGUGCAAGAAUUGGCUCGGACCUAAAGUCAACAUAACAAUGGCUCCCCAGCCAGAACACGAUGGAAGUGAUGUACAAAUCGAAUUGAAUGUUGAACAUGAGCAUGGGUCAGACAUCAUAGCGAACAUGACAAAAGCACCAAGGGUGAAAUACAUAACUUUCUACGAAGACUCUGAGAGCAUUCCAGGAAAGAGAACGGCAGUGUGGGAGCUUGAUAAAGCGAAUCACAGGAACAUCGUUAGAUCUCCAGUUCUUAUGAGAGAGUUAUGGCUUCAGAUGUGGCAUGACAUUCAACCUGGUGCAAAGUCCAAAUUUGUCACCAAAGCCAAGCGCGGGCCACUUAGGGAUGCGGAUUGCUACUGGGAUUACGGCAAAGCCUGUUGUGCUUGGCAAGAAUACUGUGAAUACAGAUACAGUUUUGGGGAUGUUCACCUAGGACAAAGUUGUAGAUUGAGGAACACAUCUGCUAAUAUGCUGCUUCAGUACAUAUAGAUCUCCUUGUUCAGGUUGGCAUUAUUCUCUCAGUCAGUUGGAUGAAAGGUGGCAAACUUAAUGCCUAACUAUCCAAAACCCAAACAGAUUGCAUACUCUCACGUCUAUCAAAUCUCUGUUUAAGCUCUUUGUUAGCUAUGCAAUAAUUAAGGAUUGUAGUUUAUAUGAAAUUUGAGAUACCUAUAUGUAUUUGCCUCCAUUUUCAUCAUUAUGUCACCAGUUUUUUAAUUAACAUAUAAUCAAAUUUCUUCAAAUAGAUGUUAAAUACUGAACUUUAUAACUAUAAAUUUGAUUGUGACAAAAAUAUGAGAAGUUAUUUCAUAUAUAAAUUUAGAUUUUACUUUUAGACUCUUAUAUAUUUAGCUUUGCACUAUAUAUAUAUAUGAUUACUACAUCCUACUUGUCAAUUGAUUGAGGUCGGGCCUUGCAGUUAUUAUUGUCUAUUAUAUGUUUUUUGGUCAUAAUAGUAUGAAUUUUUUACAACAACAUAAAUCCUAAAACGAAACUCAAACCAAUUACAAAAUAUAUAAACAAAUCAGAUUUUACAGUCAUUAAGCUGUUGGUUAAGUUUUGUAUUAAGUUGAUCAUUUCUUGAAUUUGAUAGUGUAGUAGGUGAUAAAUGAAUGAAAACGUAAACCAGGAAAAAGUCAUAACUGAAUCAAUAUUAUUUCUCCUGUUAUAUUUAGUGUGUGUGCGCGUCUCUUCAUUUACAUAUAACCACAAACAGAAAGGGUUAAUUUUGACUAACGAAAUUAAUUGUAUUGUAAUGAUCUUGUGCCUACACGCAACAAAGUUGCAAGGCUUGUGGAAUAAAGUAUAGUAAAAGAUAAUGUAUAAACGUGUUCUAAUCAAAAUAUAAUUUUUUUGAAUAGAAUUUAUUCUUCAUCCAACCGCAUUACGAAGUAACAGACUCGUUAAAAAAUGUAUAAUAUGUAUAAAUGAUCGCAUUGUCAUUUAAAUGAUAGUCAUCAGACCUUAUACAUGCCGUACAAUGAUUAGAAUUGCUCAAAUUACUAAUAAAAACUUAAUUUGGGAAAAUAAAUAAGUAGUGGUUUGUUGCCUAAGUAUGAAAAAGAAGUUAUUCAUAUCAUAAUCAUAUUAGAAUUUAACUGAAGACAGAUUAGCAUAUAAAUUGAUAUCUAAAAGUCAUCUUUUAUGAUUUUACAAGGAUUGGAUACCGAGUCCUGUAAUUUAGAUAUUUAUCACUUAGUCCUAUAAGCUUUAUGCCAAAAAAAGCGAGUUUUUUAGAUAAAUAUGAUUCCUUAUAAAUUAUAAUUCUACAAUUAUCAAAAAAGGAUAAUUCAGUCAAUUCCUCUUUGAUGGUAACCCAAAAUUGAAGAAACGGUAAAGGAAAAAAGGGUAAUCUAGUCAAUUCAGGUUGAGUGGCACUUUAGUGAUUUCCUAGAACGUCAAGGGGAAUCUAAGCACCCCGCCUCUAUAAAUUGUCAUAUUCUACCCAUUCCCGUGACCUUUCUGAUAUCCAAUCUAAUCCUUUCUCCCAAUCUAUUUUCCUUUCUCCUUCUCUCUCUAGACGCUCCGAUUAUAUCCUCGGAAACAAAAAACUAAAAAUCCAUAAUUUUUUUCCUUUUUUCACCCGAAUAUUUUGAUUUUACUGUUUUACGGCAGUUAAACUUUUUUUCUUGCGUUGGGUGCUGACGUGGCAUGCAUUCAAUAGAGAAGCACCAUGAACACCAAAACGAUGCGUUUACCCCCACGUCGCGUUCUAACGACCGAAAAGCGCAAAGAAAGAGACGGCGUUAUCUCCUCCGUCGCGAAGCCGCCGGAAUCCACCGUGACGAAGUUUCCUCCACCGCCGAAUCUUGCUCCUCCGACGGUUAAUUCCAUUUCCAAGAAAGCUCUAAUCGCAGCCGAGCCGGUCGGCUCGAACCAGCUAAUGUUAGCCGGUUACUUGAGUCACGAGUUUCUCACCAACGGCACACUCUUCGGGGAGCAAUGGAAUCCGGCUCGAGCCCAAGCCGGUCCACCCGAGCCAAAGAAGGUAAAGCCGAACCAUGCAGUUGAGCCGGUUGAGGAAAGUGAGCCGAAACGGAAGCGGUACAUGGAAGUCGCUAAUCUCCUCAGGUCAGAUGGGGCCCACAUGCCCGGCAUCGUCAAUCCUGCCCAGCUUGCCCGAUUCCUCAAACUGUGAUCGGCGUAAUCCGGCGUACACGUGGAGGCAGAUCAUUGGUCCGUCCCCCAGCAAGCAAGACAGCCCUAAAACCAGAAUCCGCCGCUCCUCUCUCUCUCUCUCUAUCCUUUUUUGUUUUGUUUUCAAAUCUUCUCGUAUGUAAAGCGCUGACUCUCUCUCUCCCUUUCAUCGUCUUCUUCCUCGAAAUCGAUCGAGAAAGUCUAGAGUUUGUUGCGAGUAAGCAGUACUCUGAAUCGUGACCAUAGGAUUAACACCAAGAGCCGUAGGCAAAACACUCGCAUCACACACAUACAAACCCUCCGCCUCCCAGCUCUCUCCGUAUCCAUCAACAGCUCCUUCCUCCUCCGUCGCGCCCAUACGGCAACACCCCAUCUGAUGCGCCGUGAACGAAUGAGUCCACCGCCUACUCAUCGACACAACUCCAGCCGGCGCAUCCACCGUCUCCAAAAACUUCUCCAGAUCCUCCUCCUUGACUCCACCGCACUUCAACCUCUGCCCGUCGCUCCUAUACGUCCCCACCUCCUCCGCUCCCGCAGCCACCAAGAUCCGUAACGCUCGUCUCAACCCCGUCGUCAGAUUCUCUUCAUCCGCUUUCGUUAAUUUAGACCCACGGGAUGAGAGCCGCGAAGGUCCCUGGACCUAACGCUGGAGUUUCCAGCGUUAUGUUUGGUGUUGUAGAGUCUAUUUCGAAUACGUAGUGUAACGAAGUCAUGAUCUCUCCCUCGUGAGCUGCUCCGUUGAAGUUCGAGUUUUUCUCAGGGAAGUAUCCCCACGCCAUGAGUAUAGGGUGGAUGUGGAGACCCCGACCGAUGUUAUGAUUCUUCAACCCGCUUGAAGAUAACAGCCCUGGUGUCAUUAGUGAGCCGCAAGCUACAACUGUCACUUUAGCAUUGAUCUCAAUCUUAUUUAUGGCUGUGUUUGAUAUCGAAGUUGUGACUCCCAAGCAUCUUUUUUUUCUUCGUCCA